Mandrillus leucophaeus (drill) is the source of this 905-nucleotide long non-coding RNA. RefSeq lists it as uncharacterized. The transcript has 3 exons. Lineage: Eukaryota; Metazoa; Chordata; Mammalia; Primates; Cercopithecidae. The record is from RefSeq and is a predicted model, not a curated record.
GUUUCCUGUUGCUCGUUUGAUGAUCCCAGAUGGAGUUGACAGACUGCCUGCUACCACCUCAACACCAAGACAUGCUGCACCAGAGAGGGAGUGAGACAAGAAUAGGAGGAGAGACACAGACACAGACCCACAGAGGAGAAGGCCGUGUGACCACCGAGGCAGAGGUGACGUGCUUCAGCCACAAGCCAAGGAACUCCAAGAUUGCAGGUCACCACCAGAAGCUGGAAGAGGCGUGAAGGAUCUUCCCCUGGAGCCUUCAGAUUUGGCUUAUGGAAAAGCCCAAAAGGAUGUGUCUUCUUCAUCUCCAAAUCAACCAAACUUCAGUUCCCAUGGUCUGCAACAACUGUCUCCCUGUUCUCAGCAAAGUGUACCCCAUUCUUCCAAUUACUCAAACCCAAACUCUGGAAAUAUCUUUGAUCCCUCUCUUCAUUGACUUCACAUCUGAUCCAUCACCAAUAUUCUCUUGCCUCUAACUUCAAAACAUAUCCAGAGUCUCUGCAUAACAUAUUCAUAUUGCUGAAAAGCAAUUGUAACAGGAAAUAUCUAAGAGAAAAAAGAAGCAUUGUAUACAGAAGUACAAAGAUAAGUAAAACCGCUGACUUCUUCUCAGAAUCUAUGCAAGUCAGACAAGAGUGGAGGCAAAAUGAAGCUAAAGACAACACCAAAUGCAGGUGAGCAGACCAACAGGAACUCUCAUUCAUUGUUGGUGGGAGUGUAAAAUGGUACAGCCACUUUGGAAGAAAAUCGGGCAGUUUCUUACAAAGCUAAAUAUACUCCUGCAAUACAAUCCUCAGGUAAUUCCCUUGGUGUGCACUCAAAUGAAUUGAAAACUUAUGUCUACACAAAUUCUGCACACAAAUGUUUAUAGCAGCUUUAUCCAUAAGUGCCCUAAACUGAAAUAAAUC